UGAAAUUCCGUUCUUGGAUAGACCUGUGCUUUGCAGAAAACCUGCAAGCCAUCAAAGAAGACGAAACAAACAAACAAAAUUUUCUGCCCCAGUUUAUACUAGGAAAAUUUUGUGAGUUAUUAGAAAAACUAUAAUCUAGUUUAAAAAUAAAUAAACGAAUGGAUAGAAAUUUAGGCUAGGAGUGCGAUAAAAUAAGAACCCUAUUCUUAAUAAUAUGACUAAAGGAAGUUAUGCCUAAUGAACGCAUGAAAAAGAAUUAGGAUUUUCG
RNAcentral lists this long non-coding RNA (268 nucleotides) under Capsicum annuum. RNAcentral describes it as "long non-coding RNA (CANN_LNC000501)". Lineage: Eukaryota; Viridiplantae; Streptophyta; Magnoliopsida; Solanales; Solanaceae. The record is from RNAcentral.